CUCACAGCAAACGCCUUUGGAUUAUGGCCUGCAGUUUUUGGGGAGAAAAAGGAAAAAGAUUUGGCAUUGUAAUCAGCAAGAAAAAGUCUGUAAUUAUUAAGACUAUUAGGGGUAGAAUUAAAUUAAGAAUGUCAAGUACCAACACAGUGAUGCUAAUACUAUAUCUCUGGCAUCAUUACUUACAAGUGUCUCGGAAAAGCUUAGUGCGAGAUGAAUGGGCUAAUAACUUGCUGGGCAGUUGCUACCCUCCAGUUAAUUGCAGAGUUUACCUAGCAGUGACAAUGCAGAGAAGAAGAGAUAAAAAGAGCUAGUAACGCAGUUAAAUUUUUAAAAGGCAUAUAGAGUCAUCAGUUUUAGUACUGUGAGCUACAUUUCAAACUAAAAAGUUAUUUGAAACAAAAGACUGAAUUAUUUGAUUUCAAUAGAGCUGAACUGAAAUGUAUUAAUUGUAUUGAAAUGUUAAAAGAAUUAAAUAUGCAUAAUUUAGUCAAAACUGGAUGGGAAAGUUCCAGUUUUGCAAAAGGACUGGUUUCCUGCAGAAAAUUCCAUCAAAUUAUUUAGAUCAGCUUUACUUUUUAUCAUGGAGAGAUUGGGGAAAAGUUAGGUUUACUAGGGAAGUUUUGUUUUGAAGCAGUUGAUGUGUUGGAAGGAUGCAGAAUGAAGAGCUUGUUCAGAUUGCUGAUGGGAGAAAAUGAAGAUACUCAGAAAGUGGUCUGUACUAAAGGGACAGGAACCUCAUUCCCUAAGUGUGGCAAUCAAAACCAUUUGCCCAUUUAAGUGUCUUGCUCUCUAAAUUCUUUUUCUUACUUUCUCAGGUUUUCUGUUUCAAAUUCCUCCUUUCUAAGUGCCUGACACAGUGGUACUCGUCUCUUUAUGUUCUCAUCUCCUUUUCAUCUACAGUACUUGUGUUUAAUGACACUUGCCUUUUGUUUAAUCUUCCAUCCUUAACCAUAGUUUUGUCUCCUUAAGUACUAAUAUAAAUGUUACUGCUUUUUUAUUCUUGGAACGAUCUAUUUCUUCCUGUAUGACAUUUUGUCCUUCGGAUCUGUUAUGAAAAUUCAUUAUUUCAUCUCUUUUCACAGAGGUAGCUGAAAAUCCCAUCGACUUUCAUAUUGAUACCCUUUCCGCAAGAGUCUGUGAGUUCCUUGGGCCUGUGACACAUUUGUGUCUGCAAUGUAUUCUGCAAAAGUAUCACAUACUCAUGACAUUUUAAGAAUACAUAAAGAAGAAUGCAAGGACAAGAGAUUCACAGGGAGCAACCAUGUUGGGAACAAUGAUUUUUUCAGAGGAGAUGUUGGGCAGUACUGAGAAAAGCACCCAUCAGAUGAGAAACCUCAGGGAAAGGGAGGUCGUGAAGGGUGUUUGGAAUGAGCAGAACCCUUGGGGAAAGAGAAGUUUCCUCACAAACUUUCAGAAGAAAAUACAAGGCCAGAAGGGAGCUGGUUAUGGCUUCCCAGAUUUCUGGAUUUUUUUUUUUUUUCUAGUUUGCACCAGUUGGAAAGAGUUGCUGAGCAACUGGUUCCUGUGUACUCUGGCCACUCCUCAUCUGUGAUGAGCUUUCUUUAGGUUACCUGUAUAUCCUCUGUGUCAUGUCGUCUGGGAGGGACAUCUGCGUUCCAUUCUGUGAUGAGAUGACUGGCUGAGCAGAUAAGGGGAGAGCAGUACAUGUUGUAUACCUUGAAUUUAGCAAGGCAUUUAACAAUCUACCUAGUAUUCCUACAGCCAAACUGGUGAGCUAUGGACUGGAUAAAUAGUAAGGUGGGUGGAAAAUUAUCUCAACCAUUGAGCUCUAAGGGUGGUGAUCACUGGUACAAAGCUCACCUGGCAACUGGUUAUGAGUGGCAUGCCUCAGGGAUUGAUGCCAACCAUGCUUGUCUUCAGUAACAGCUUGGAUGGCUGGAUAGAGUGCAACCUUUGCAAGUUUGCAGGUUAUAUGAAUUGGGAAGGGUGGACAGUACACUGAGGGCAGGGCUGCUUUUGAGCCAGAAAUGGCUUGUCAGAAACCUCAUGAAACUUACCAAAGGCAAAUGGAAGGUCCUCCUCCAUCUGGGAUGAAAUAAGCCCGUGCAACAGCACAGGGUAGCACUGACUGGCUAGGAAGCAGAUUUGUAGAAAAAGACCUGAGGUCCUUGUGGGCAGCAAGUUGCACGAGUCAUCAGUGUGUCCUUCUGACAAAGAAGGCCAGCUGCAUCUUGGGCUACAUUAGGAGGAGGAUAGCCAGCAGGUGGAGGGAAGUGAUGGUUCUUUCCCUCUAUAUGGCACUUGUGGGACCACCUCUGGAGUGGCGGGUCCAGUUUUGGGCUCCCCAGCACAGAAAAGACGUUGACAUAGUGGAGCAAGUGCAUCAGAGGGCCAUUGAGAUGCUUAGGGGGCUGGAGCACAUGAUGUACAAGGAGAGGCUGAGAGAUGUGUUUGUUCCAUCCUAAGAAGAGAAUGCUAAUGCAGUGAGGGGAAUCUCAUUGCUGUCUAUGACUACCUAACAGGAGCAUGUCGAGAAGACAGAGCUAGACCCUUCUCAGAGGAGCAGAAUGGAAGGACAAGAGGCUGUGACCAGAAGUUAGAAUAUGGGAAACUCCAUCCCAGUGCAAGGGGAAAACCUUUUGCCUUGAGACUGGUCAAGCGCUGGAGCAGGUUGCCUGGAGAGGUUGUGGAAUCUCCAUCCAUGGAGAUACUUGAAACUUGACUGGCCACUGCCUUCAGCAGCUGGAUCUAAAUGGACCUACAUUGAGUAGGGGAUUGGUGUAAAUGUUCUCUGGUGGUUCCUUCCAACCUAAAUGAUUCUGUCUAAGGAAUUCAUUACAUGGUAGUCAUUGAAUGCGUGUGGGCUAAUGCCAGUAAGAGAGAUCUAUCUCUCUUUAUUCAUAUUUUUAAAGUAGAAGGUACAGGCCAAUGGAGUUUCAUUUUUCAGGGGGCAAUAUAAAGAUGAAACAACCAAAAUAAAGAAGAAAUGAGUUAUGAAUUUUCAUUUGUGUAGUAUGUUACUUAAGUCUUAGAAGUACAUGAACAGUAUUAUAUUUAUUCCACCUUCUCUGUGUCUUCCUGAUAUUUCAUUUGAUAUCUUCUUUUCUCUCAUAAGAACUUCCUAGGAAUUGCAUUCACUUUCUUGUUGCAGAUAAUCAUGUCAUGUAAUUGUUUGCACACACAGAUGGUGAUCCAUCUGAAACCUGGACUUCUUGCUCCUCCCGGUCUACCUGGAGGGCUUUUCUGUAACUUCUGAUUCUCCAGCUAAUUGUAUUAAUUGAUGUUAUGGUUCUGUGUAUUCCUACUGCUGAGAGGAGAAUACUAGUGUUUUUUGAAGGCUUGUCUUCAGUGGAGAGGUAAAGUCAUUUUACUGAAGCUAAACUGUGUUGAGUCAGCAACUGUGUACAGAGAUAGUAUAGGCUAUAUAUUGAGUGCUUUGAUUAACAGCUUAGCAGUUUCCUACUUGAAUUGAAGUCUCUUGGUGCCUUCCCACCCCAUCACUAGCUAGAAAAUUAACAGGCUUUGAGAUUUCCUCCGCUGACAGUCCAGUAUUUCAAAGCGUAAAAAAGAAAGGCUUGUAUGUAGGUAGUAAUCAGCUACAGGAUCAUUGUUCCCUCAGGCUAAUGCUCCAGAGAGGAAAAGCACCAAGACAAAACCAAUGUGCAAUGUAUACUGAAAUCUAAAGUCUGAUUUCAGCAAACAGGCAGAGAGCAAGCACCACACGUCAGGGGAAGCAGAAGUAUUUUCCAGGGACUGUUGGUGACACUGAAGGGUCUCUGACAUGCAAUAAGGUACUGCUGCGCAAGCCAAAAGAUAAAGAUCAUAGGUUUCUCUUUUUAUCUCUUUUGUUUAACUUGAAUUCCUAAAGAAACAAAACAUAUGCAAUUAUUCUUUUGGUCUGUCUGUACAUUUUUCCUUCCAACUCUCCCUAAAAGCGUCAUGUGGAACCACUACAUGUGCUGAAACAGAAACUGGCUGGUCAGUCACCAUGUGUGUGAUACCAGCCAGCCAUUGCACCUUUGGCUCAGACAAACAGCUGGGAUAAGAGCAAGAGCUGUGGCAGGCAAGCUCUGUGAGGGACGUAAUACGUAACCUGCUAGGAGAAAAGGGCUUAUUAAUUCUGUUGUUUGUGAAAAAAUAUUUAUGUUGUAUAACUCUUGUUAUAUUUCAGUGUAAAAUAUUUGUCAUCACAGUUGAAAAUACUGAUGCAAACAAAUAGAUUUAUUCCUUGUUUUGUAAUUAAGUUUAACUACUAUAUUAUAGAUACACAUAUAUUUUUGUUUUAAAUAACUUUUUAAAAAUAUGAUGU
Harpia harpyja (harpy eagle) is the source of this 4270-nucleotide long non-coding RNA. RefSeq lists it as uncharacterized. The record is from RefSeq and is a predicted model, not a curated record. The transcript is spliced from 3 exons. NCBI's taxonomy places the organism in Eukaryota, Metazoa, Chordata, Aves, Accipitriformes, Accipitridae.